RNAcentral lists this long non-coding RNA (503 nucleotides) under Mus musculus (house mouse). RNAcentral describes it as "long non-coding RNA chr10:116602791-116603294". The record is from RNAcentral. Lineage: Eukaryota; Metazoa; Chordata; Mammalia; Rodentia; Muridae.
GACUGCAUCUGAAAUGAACUAAAACACUAACAACUGGGCAACUCUGAGGGAUUUUUUUCUUAAUUAAAUCAUUUGAAGUGGGAAGAUCCAGUUCUGAUCUGGUUCUCUGAGGUAGGAAGACACUCCUUUAAUCCUGACCACACCUUUUGCCGGCAGCUUAUAGAAAGGACAUGGAAGGAGGAAGCCAGCUCUCUCUGCCUGCUUACUCUGGCAAGUCCAUUUCUUCACUGACAUUAGAGCCUAAUUCUUCUGGAUUCCAGCACACACUGAAGACCAGCUGAGACCUCCAGACUUGUGUACUGAACAACCACAGAUCCCUGGACCUUUUGUUGGUGGGCAGCCAUUGUUGGACCAGCUGAACCGCAGCCUGUAUGCCAGUCUAAUAAAUCCCCAAGAUAGAUACAGAUUAUAGAUAUGGAUGCAUGAGCUCUAGACAAAUAACUAACCUAUUGAUUUUAGCAGCUUUGGUUAUUUUUGAAGGGAAAAUAAAUUUUGUUAAAUGU